Molecule: non-coding RNA, 216 nt
Organism: Paramuricea clavata
Lineage: Eukaryota; Metazoa; Cnidaria; Anthozoa; Malacalcyonacea; Plexauridae
Source: the annotation of a GenBank genome assembly
GUUUGUCUGAAUUGACGCCAUUUUGAAAUCGUCGAAAAUCGUAUUAAAAAUUGCAAAAUUUCUCACUCGUUUGUCAAUAGAUCCGGCUCCGAAAAGGACGACCAAAUGUUUACGUCUGUUAGAACGGUCGUUAAAAGUCUGUAUAAUUGUCAAAUAACUCUUUAUUCUAUGAUUUCUAUCCCGAUUUAAAAAAUACAAAACACGCUGUCUUAAAAU